GAUGAACGCUGGCGGCGUGCCUAAUACAUGCAAGUCGAGCGAACAGACGAGGAGCUUGCUCCUCUGACGUUAGCGGCGGACGGGUGAGUAACACGUGGAUAACCUACCUAUAAGACUGGGAUAACUUCGGGAAACCGGAGCUAAUACCGGAUAAUAUAUUGAACUGCAUGGUUCAAUAGUGAAAGACGGCUUUGCUGUUACUUAUAGAUGGAUCCGCGCCGCAUUAGCUAGUUGGUAAGGUAACGGCUUACCAAGGCUACGAUGCGUAGCUGACCUGAGAGGAUGAUCAGCCACACUGGAACUGAGACACGGUCCAGACUCCUACGGGAGGCAGCAGUAGGGAAUAUUCCGCAAUGGGCGAAAGCUUGACGGAGCAACACCGCGUGAGUGAUGAAGGUCUUCGGAUCGUAAAGCUCUGUUAUUAGGAAAGAACAAAUGUGUAAGUAACUAUGCACGUCUUGACGGUACCUAAUCAGAAAGCCACGGCUAACUACGUG
This 497-nucleotide ribosomal RNA is filed under the name uncultured bacterium. RNAcentral describes it as "partial 16S ribosomal RNA". It matches the Rfam family "Bacterial small subunit ribosomal RNA", at positions 28 to 507 of the family's 1533-position model. The record is from RNAcentral.